Long non-coding RNA from Juglans microcarpa x Juglans regia, 231 nucleotides. RefSeq lists it as uncharacterized. The transcript has 3 exons. NCBI's taxonomy places the organism in Eukaryota, Viridiplantae, Streptophyta, Magnoliopsida, Fagales, Juglandaceae. The record is from RefSeq and is a predicted model, not a curated record.
GAAACAAAUGGAAAGUAUGGAUGAUUGUAGCUGUACUGGUCGCUGCAGGGCUAAUCUUAUGCCUCUCCGUUUGUUUCUCAAGCAAAAGAAAGCUCAAACACAAAGAUCCAAUCAUGAAAAAGAUAUUAGAUUGGGGGACACGCAUUCACAUUAUUGAAGGGAUUGCUCAAGGACUUCUCUAUCUUCAUCAGUAUUCAAGAUUUUAGCAUGGCUCGAAUAGUUGGAGAUAAU